RNAcentral lists this ribosomal RNA (422 nucleotides) under uncultured bacterium. RNAcentral describes it as "bacterial SSU rRNA". It matches the Rfam family "Bacterial small subunit ribosomal RNA", at positions 28 to 480 of the family's 1533-position model. The record is from RNAcentral.
GACGAACACUGGCGGCAUGCCUAACACAUGCAAGUUGAACGAAGGUCCCGGGCCUGCUUCGGGAACCUUAGUAGCGAACGGGUGAGUAACGCGUGGGAAUCUACCUAGAAAUGGGGAAUAACUACUGGAAACGGUAGCUAAUACCGCAUAAUCCCUUCGGGGCAAAGGCUUCGGCCGUUUUUAGAUGAGCCCGCGUUAGAUUAGAUUGUUGGUGGGGUAAUGGCCUACCAAAUCUUCUAUCUAUAGCUGGUCUGAGAGGAUGAUCAGCCACACUGGGACUGAGACACGGCCCAGACUCCUACGGGAGGCAGCAGUGGGGAAUAUUGGACAAUGGGGGAAACCCUGAUCCAGCAAUGCCGCGUGAGUGAAGAAGGCCUUAGGGUUGUAAAACUCUUUCAGAAGUGAAGAUGAUGACUGUAACU